GACGAACGCUGGCGGCGUGCUUAACACAUGCAAGUCGAACGGAAAGGCCCUGCUUGCAGGGUAUUCGAGUGGCGAACGGGUGAGUAACACGUGGGUGAUCUGCCCUGCACUUCGGGAUAAGCCUGGGAAACUGGGUCUAAUACCGGAUAGGAGCCAUCUUUAGUGUGAUGGUUGGAAAGUUUUUUCGGUGUAGGAUGAGCUCGCGGCCUAUCAGCUUGUUGGUGGGGUAAUGGCCUACCAAGGCGGCGACGGGUAGCCGGCCUGAGAGGGUGGACGGCCACAUUGGGGCUGGGGUACGGCCCAGACUCCUACGGGGGGCAGCAGUGGGGAAUAUUGCACAAUGGGCGGGAGCCUGAUGCAACGACGCCGGGGGGGGGAUGACGGCCUUCGGGUUGUAAACUCCUUUCGCUAGGGACGAAGCUUUUUGUGACGGUACCUAGAAAAGAAGCACCGGCUAACUACGUG
Molecule: ribosomal RNA, 465 nt
Filed under: uncultured bacterium
Lineage: Bacteria
Description: partial 16S ribosomal RNA
Rfam family: Bacterial small subunit ribosomal RNA
Source: RNAcentral